RNAcentral lists this ribosomal RNA (502 nucleotides) under marine sediment bacterium BB0608_AND_7.2_7G0. Its description in RNAcentral is "bacterial SSU rRNA". It matches the Rfam family "Bacterial small subunit ribosomal RNA", at positions 90 to 627 of the family's 1533-position model. The record is from RNAcentral.
GGAGAGUGGCGCACGGGUGAGUAACGCGUGGGGACCUACCUCUUAGUGGGGGAUAACGGUUGGAAACGACCGCUAAUACCGCAUACGCCCUUCGGGGGAAAGAUUUAUCGCUAAGAGAUGGACCCGCGUUGGAUUAGAUAGUUGGUGAGGUAACGGCUCACCAAGUCAGCGAUCCAUAGCUGGUUUGAGAGGAUGAUCAGCCACACUGGGACUGAGACACGGCCCAGACUCCUACGGGAGGCAGCAGUGGGGAAUAUUGGACAAUGGGGGCAACCCUGAUCCAGCCAUGCCGCGUGAGUGAAGAAGGCCUUCGGGUUGUAAAGCUCUUUCAGAUGCGAAGAUGAUGACGGUAACAUCAGAAGAAGCCCCGGCUAAUUUCGUGCCAGCAGCCGCGGUAAUACGAAAGGGGCUAGCGUUGUUCGGAUUUACUGGGCGUAAAGGGCACGCAGGCGGUCUUGCCAGUCAGGGGUGAAAGCCCGGGGCUCAACCCCGGAACUGCCUC